RNAcentral lists this ribosomal RNA (345 nucleotides) under Triticum aestivum (bread wheat). RNAcentral's name for it is "partial small subunit ribosomal RNA". The record is from RNAcentral. Lineage: Eukaryota; Viridiplantae; Streptophyta; Magnoliopsida; Poales; Poaceae.
AUGUUUGGUGCUACAAUUACAGUCCUACGAAGUAUAGCAAAUGAUUGUUCGGUCACCAAAUAUUCCCGUGGAGAUGCUGGAGGCGCCCUAAGGAUAAUUAUUUCUUUUGAUUUUGUGUUCAUUUUGCACCUCAUGGAGAGGAUUAUGAAAAUCACAGAUGUCUUGUGCCAAACACUCAAGAAGAAAUCUUUGGACAUUUUGAAUGCAUUAGAUACAGUCUCGAACACUGAGGUGCUCCUCGCUGAUCUAAGAGAAGUAUGGGAACCUCUCUUAGAGGUGGUUAAGACCUUUUGUAUGAAGCAUGAAUUUGAGAUCCCCGAUAUGAGUUGCAAGUAUGUUGACUAA